UUGUGACUGCAUUAUUAGCAGAGGUAGUGUGGACUGGAUCACAUGAAGAAACUAAACUACCCUUUUCAGAGUCAGAAAGAGCUUCCCCAAGUUCCUCUCCCAUGAUCUCUCACUGCAAAUUAAAAACCAAGAAAAAUAAAAGAAACCCCAAAAGGAUUGUUCAUUAAUACGUUAAUGAAGUCAUCAGUUAAACAUUAAAACCCUAAACCACAUGUUUCAAAAAUAAA
RNAcentral lists this unclassified non-coding RNA (227 nucleotides) under Hevea brasiliensis (rubber tree). The record is from RNAcentral. Lineage: Eukaryota; Viridiplantae; Streptophyta; Magnoliopsida; Malpighiales; Euphorbiaceae.